AGGAUAAACGCUGGCGGCGUGCCUAACACAUGCAAGUCGAACGCGCUUUCGUCUUCGGAGGAGAGCGAGUGGCGGACGGGUGAGUAACACAUGGGUACCUACCCCACAGUGAGGGAUACCGGCGAGAAAUCGCCGACAAUACCGCAUAGGCUUCUCUUUGGAGACGAGGAGAAGCAAAGUUGCGCAAGCGACGCUGAGGGAUGGGCCUGUGGCCGAUUAGCUAGUUGGGGGGUAACGGCCUCCCAAGGCUUCGAUCGGUAGCUGGUCUGAGAGGACGAUCAGCCACACUGGGAUUGAGAACGGCCCAGACUCCUACGGGGGGCAGCAGUGAGGAAUUUUCCGCAAUGGAGGCAACUCUGACGGAGCAACGCCGCGUGCAGGAUGAAGGUUUUCGGAUCGUAAACUGCUUUUCUCGGGGACGAGCAAGGACGGUACCCGAGGAACGAAGCCCCGGCUAACUACGUGCCAGCAGCCGCGGUAA
RNAcentral lists this ribosomal RNA (481 nucleotides) under uncultured bacterium. RNAcentral's name for it is "SSU rRNA". It matches the Rfam family "Bacterial small subunit ribosomal RNA", at positions 26 to 523 of the family's 1533-position model. The record is from RNAcentral.